This 426-nucleotide ribosomal RNA is filed under the name uncultured bacterium. Its description in RNAcentral is "bacterial SSU rRNA". It matches the Rfam family "Bacterial small subunit ribosomal RNA", at positions 355 to 796 of the family's 1533-position model. The record is from RNAcentral.
UGAGGAAUCUUCCACAAUGGACGAAAGUCUGAUGGAGCAACUCCGCGUGCAGGACGAAGGCCUUCGGGUUGUAAACUGCUUUUAUAAGUGAAAAAUAUGAUUGUAACUUAUGAAUAAGGGUCGGCUAACUACGUGCCAGCAGCCGCGGUCAUACGUAGGACCCAAGCGUUAUCCGGAGUGACUGGGCGUAAAGAGUUGCGUAGGUGGUUAGUAAAGCGAAUAGUGAAACCUGGUGGCUCAACCAUACAGACUAUUGUUCGAACUCACUAACUCGAGAGUGGUAGAGGUAACUGGAAUUUCUAGUGUAGGAGUGAAAUCCGUAGAUAUUAGAAGGAACACCAAUGGCGUAGGCAGGUUACUGGACCAUUUCUGACACUAAUGCACGAAAGCGUGGGGAGCGAACCGGAUUAGAUACCCGGGUAGUCC